GACGAACGCUGGCGGCGUGCCUAAUACAUGCAAGUAGAACGCUGAAGGAGGAGCUUGCUUCUCUGGAUGAGUUGCGAACGGGUGAGUAACGCGUAGGUAACCUGCCUGGUAGCGGGGGAUAACUAUUGGAAACGAUAGCUAAUACCGCAUAAGAGUAGAUGUUGCAUGACAUUUGCUUAAAAGGUGCAAUUGCAUCACUACCAGAUGGACCUGCGUUGUAUUAGCUAGUUGGUGGGGUAACGGCUCACCAAGGCGACGGUACAUAGCCGACCUGAGAGGGUGAUCGGCCACACUGGGACUGAGACACGGCCCAGACUCCUACGGGAGGCAGCAGUAGGGAAUCUUCGGCAAUGGACGGAAGUCUGACCGAGCAACGCCGCGUGAGUGAAGAAGGUUUUCGGAUCGUAAAGCUCUGUUGUAAGAGAAGAACGAGUGUGAGAGUGGAAAGUUCACACUGUGACGGUAUCUUACCAGAAAGGGACGGCUAACUACGUG
RNAcentral lists this ribosomal RNA (495 nucleotides) under uncultured bacterium. Its description in RNAcentral is "partial 16S ribosomal RNA". It matches the Rfam family "Bacterial small subunit ribosomal RNA", at positions 28 to 507 of the family's 1533-position model. The record is from RNAcentral.